CACAAAGCUCCCUCCUUAUUUUUCCGUUCGGGUUUGAGGCUUGAGCUUUGCCGUUCUGGGGAAGCAUAUAUCAAUCCGUCAAGCAAAUUACGGCCAGUUGCCACCAAACCCACCUAGCAAGCCUUAGCCAGUGCAAUCCGGCGCCGUUUUGUACUCCUCAGUGCUCAGUGCGAGUGUCUGAGUUUGACCAAUCUCUCUCCACUAGAAUUCAGAGAGAAGAAGAAGCAGCAAUGUUACACGAGUUGCUACUUGCACUGUUGGGCUACACCGGCGAUCUGAUAAUCGACGAGAGAGAGCAUUCCAAGUCUCUCGGCGUCGACGCUCCCAUUUCCGAUGAGCCUACUUUCAAGCUCGCUCCCGAUAUCUCCUUCAUUCAACCCAGCGAAAGGUACCCAAAAUAUUCACACUCAAACCCUCCAAAUUUCACAUAUUCCAAUUUCAUGCCCAAUCGUUUUCUGCGUUCUCUGCAGGGAUCUUAUAGAGAAGAUCACCACAUUAGGGUUUUACUAUCGGGAGCUUGACCGCUUUUCCGUCAGGUCUCGGAAUUUAAGUUGGAUAAGGUCUGCAAAUGCGAGUUCUUUGGCCUCCGACUUGUCCAAACCCAAAGCUGAAAAGCCGAGUGUGUAUCGUAGGGCAAUUGCCAAUGGCAUUGUGGAGAUACUCUCGGUCUAUAGGUCUGCUGUUCUCCACAUUGAGCAGAAAUUGUUGUCCGAAACUGUCCCCAUAUUGGCAACUGUAACUCAAGGCCUCAAUAAGGUCGGGUUUUAAGAAUGUGCAUGCUGCAUUGUUUGGUAAUCAUUUUUGUUUGUGUUUCUUAUGAUCAGUUGGUUUUUGCUAGUUUUUUGUGCUCUUGCCGCCUCUGUAUGAGCUUGUUCUGGAGAUUGAGCGCGAUGACAUUCGUGGCGGUCAGCUUCUGAACCUUUUGCACAAACGAUGCCAUUGUGGAGUGCCUGAGUUGCAAACAUGCAUUCAGAGGUAUACACCUCAUUUUUCAUGCGAAUGGAACAGUGUGUAUGAGGUGUACUUUUUUCGAAAGUAACUGUUAGGAACUGUUUGUUAUGUUUUAGUGGCAAAAUAAAUUAUAAGCUGAUUAAUUUCUAAUUUGUUUAUUGCUGUGUGUUGGUAGCAUAGGCUUCUUUGGCAUGCACAUCAGGUGCUGUAUAACCAGCUGGCAGCGUGGAUGGUAUAUGGGAUUCUUCAAGACCAGCAUGGAGAGUUUUUCAUUAGGAGGUAGUGACGGAAGAAACUCCUUUCUUAGGGGUUUGCAUAUUUGUCGAACUUCCAUAAUAUAUAAUGCCUUGUGUCUCUCCUUCUGGCAUACCCUUCCAUUUUUUAGCAACACUCAACUUAAAAUGGUUUAUAUGGUUGACUGUAUCACUUUUCAGGCCGGAAGAUAAGGAUGUAGAGCAUGGCUCAUCUCAUCGAGACAUAUCUGAAAAGUUGGCACGCAUGUCAAUGGACGAUACAUCUUUAACAGAUUGGCACUUGGGAUUUCAUAUAUAUUUGGUAUUGUUGACUUUAUCUUUUGGGAUUUCAUAUUCUCCCUUUACUUUGGCUUUAAUUUGUGGUACACCACUGCCUCAAAGAGAAACCAAACUUUGAAACUCAAAUUCUGUUACUUACGAGUUACAUUGUCUUCCCCUUUCUCUUUGUAGGAUAUGCUACCCGAGUAUAUCCAUAUGCGUGUUGCAGAAUCAAUUUUAUUUUCAGGCAAGGCCAUCCGGGUUCUUCGCAAUCCGAGCCAUGCCUUUCGGUUUCAGGAUAUUGUGUAUCAUCAACAGGUGCCUAGAGGCUCUCAGAAAGUUCAAGGAUUUUCAGGGAGAUUUCCUUUCCUCAAAGACCCUUUUGCGGAUAAAGAGUUGAUUGGAGAAGAAUUGCUUCCACAGUCUGAGGCUGAUAAGAUUGAAACUAUGCUUCUGGAACUAAAGGUUUUCUGUUUGCCCUAUGAUUACUACAUAUCUUGCUGAUAUCAUGUUUCUGGAACUAAAGGUCAUAAUAAGGUGGAUAAUGUGAUACUUGCGUUUGAUCCACUGUGCCAGAAUAUAUAGUUCUUGACAAUCUUUAUAUUUGUUUCUUUACACAAGAUAUAGCUUCUCUUUCUAAUUAAGAGUAAAUUACAUGUUCAUUAUGUGCAGGAAUCAUCUGAGUUUCACAGAAGAUCUUUUGAAUGUGCUAUCGACUCAAUUAGGGCUACUGCUGCCCGUCAUCUUUGGCAGGUGCUGAAUGUGAAAAUUUUGGUCCCUCCAUGUUAUAGAACAAAAAUUUACUAUAUUCCCUCAAUUUCUGCAGCUUGUGGUUGUACGCGCUGACUUAAAUGGCCAUCUGAAGGCACUGAAAGACUAUUUUCUUUUAGCAAAAGGAGAUUUCUUUCAGGUAAGGAUGGAAAAUAUGUAAAGAUUGCUUCCUUCUGUUUUCCAAGUACAGAAAUUUUUAAUUUUAUUCUCAUUGGGGUGAAUGCGUAUACCUUCCCCGAAUCUCUAAAUGAAUUGUCAUCGUUUGAUGACAAUUUUGUGUUCAAUAAUGAUUGGAAGGGAAAAUGCUAUUUUUGGAGUUUUUCUUAAGGUAGAUGUGCAGGAAGUACUGAUGUAGUCUUAUAUUUAGUAUAGUUUCCCAUUAAAUGAUUGUAACCUGGGAGGUUUUUUAAUUAGACAUGAUCUAUUAUGCCAGUGCUUUCUUGAAGAGAGCCGCCAGUUGAUGCGUCUACCUCCUCGCCAGUCAACUGCUGAGGCUGAUCUUAUGGUCCCAUUUCAGCUGGUAAGGUUAUUAUAAAAUGACUCCUAACAUAUUAAAUCACAGAGUUGAGAUAUUAAUUGCGUCAACAUGCCUCAUUUUUCAAUUGUCUGGAAACAAAUUAUUUAGCUCUACUUCCAAUGCAGGCUGCAAUUAAGACUAUAAGUGAGGAAGACAAGUGUUUCUCUAGAGUAUCCUUAAGG
Molecule: long non-coding RNA, 2933 nt
Filed under: Prunus dulcis (almond)
Lineage: Eukaryota; Viridiplantae; Streptophyta; Magnoliopsida; Rosales; Rosaceae
Description: sRNA ncRNA
Source: RNAcentral